UCUAAAUUAAUGGGAUAUAUUUUUUUUGUUCUUAUCAGGCUGUGGGAAGGCGGAGAAUUACUUGACAGAAUUCUAGAUAGAGGUGGAAGAUAUCCAGAGGAUGACGCGAAAGCUAUUCUUGUACAAAUUCUAGAUGUAGUUGCAUUUUGUCAUCUUCAAGGAGUUGUUCAUCGUGAUUUAAAACCAGAGAAUUUUCUUUUUGUCUCAAAAGAUGAGGAUUCUGUGAUGAGGAUCAGUUGCAGUAAAAAAAUUAUUAAAAAAAUUAUUAAAAAAAAAUUAAACAUAUAGAUAGCGUUUAUACAAGGAUAGAGAGCACUGUGUAAUGUAGAAACAGGAUAGAUAGUGUUUUGUUCGCUCAUGGAAAACAGGAUUUGCGGCAAUGUGUAAUGUAGAUUGGUUGUCACAAUAUAGGAGAGUUGGAGCCUUAAAAGGAAUUUGUAGAUCUUGUAAAAGAAAAGUCAGCCACUGAAUAUCACAAGUAACAGAUGCCAUUGCCCUAUACUCAGCUUCACAAGAGCUUCUUGAUAUUGUGCUUUGUUUCUUGGACUUCCAAGAUAUAAGUGAAGAGCCAAGAUACACACUAUAUCCUGUGAUUGAUCUUCUAGUCUCUGAACAUGAAGCCCAAUCACUGUCAUUGUAUGCCGCCUUUAAUUGAAGAGAAGGAUCUGAAGAAAAAAAAAUAGUCCAAGACCAGGAGCAUUCUUAACAUAACGAAGAAUUCUCAAGGCUGCAUCAUAAUGAGCAAUAGAUGGUUUAGAGAUAAACUGUGCUAAGUGGUGGACAGAGAACAUGAUAUCUGGUCUUGUGUUUGUUAGAUACAUAAGUCGUCCAAGGAGACGUCUAUAAGCAAGAAUAUCAAAGAAAGGUUCCCCUAUAGUAGAUGAAAGUAUCUUGGCAUUGUCAAUAGGAGUAGGUGUUGAUUUGCAUCCUAGAAGUCCAGCUUCAACUAGCAAUUCUAAUGCAUAUUUCCUUUGAUUCAUCAAUAUUCCUUGCUUGGUUCUUGCUAUCUCAAAACCAAGAAAAAAUCUCAAUUCUCCCAAAUCUUUUAUACGAAAAGAAUUAUCAAGAGCCUAUUUAAUAACUAAAAUUUCUUGAUCAUCAUUACCAACUAAAAUGAUGUCAUCCACAUACACUAAGAGUGUUGUGAGUAUAUUUGAUAAAUAACGAAUAGUUAUGAGAAGAUUGAACAAAUCCAGUAGUAAGUAAGAAUGAUGAUAAUUUAGAAAACCACUCCCUACUUGUCUGCUUAAGACCAUACAAUGCCUUGUUAAGUUUAUAGACUUGUCUUGGCAAAAUAGAAGCUAGUCUAGGGGGAGCUAUCAUAUAGACUUAUUCCUUCAACUCUCCAUGCAAAAAAGCAUUAUUAAUGUUUAGUUGUUGAAGUUUCCAGUUAAGCACAUAAGCAAGAGACAAGAUCAAUUUUACUGUUGUUAUUUUUGCAAUAGGAGAAAAAGUAUCCAAAUAGUCAAUACCCUUAAUUUGAGUAUACCCUUUUUGCCACCAAACGAGCUUUAUGCCUUUCAAUGGUUCCAUCUGCCUUGUAUUUGAUCUUGAAUACCCAUUUGCAACCAAUAGGGAUCUUUCCUUGUGGUAAAUUUGUGACAGUCCGGGUCUGAUUUGCAUUGAGAGCCAAUAGUUCAGCUUGAAUACCCCUCUUCCAACAGUCAUGUAUAACAGCUUCAUUAUAAUCCCUUGGCUCAACAUGAGAAGACAAAGACAUGAUGUAAGAUGACAAACAUUUAUAGGAUAAAAUAGAAGAAAUUGGAUAAAAAUUAUGUGAUGAUGAAAUAGUGCUAACAUUACAAUAAUAGUCUCUUAGAUACCCAGAUGGUCUUCUCAUUCUAAUAUUAGUUUGGGGGUUAUUUGUAAUUGGUAUGGCAAUAUCAGCAGGGUUAUCUUCAUUGGAUGAAACAACCAUGAGUGUGUUUGGAUAUUGAGGAGAAGAAGAUAUAUUAGUCCCAUCAUCAGUGGGAUGAUGAUUACAAGUGAUUGGUUCAAGGUCAAAAUUUGAAGAAUGGCUCUGUUCUUGGGGAAUGCUGUUAACUUGAUCAUUUUUCAUUUUCAAAUCAGAAUAAGGAAACAUGAGUUCAUGAAAUAUUUCAUUUCUUGAUACAAGCAAUUCUCUAGUUUGAACAUUUAACAAAACAAAUCCCUUAGUCCAUGUCUUGAAACCAAGAAAAACACACAAGCAUGCUCUUGGAUCAAAUUUUGUUUCUAUUAACAAGAGAGCUACUUGCAAAACACAAUGAACCAAAAACUUUUAACUGAGAAAAAUCGGGUUCAGUUUUGUAAAGCAUUUUAUGUGGGGAAGAAUUCUUUAAAACUGGAGUAGGUAACAUGUUGAUGAUGUGGGAAACAUGGAUAACAACAUAUGACCAAUAUAUUUUUGGAAAAUUAGAUUAAAGCAUUAGAGAUCUGGCUACAUUCAAUAAAUGACCAUGUUUCCUCUCCAUAAUGCCAUUUUGUUCAGGGGUAUAAGCAUAAGAAGUGUGAUGAAUUAUUCCCUUAGAAGCAUAAAAAUCAUUCAUACAAAACUCAGUUCCAUUAUCACUUCUUAUGACUUUUAUAACUGAAUCAAAUUGUGUUUUAAUCAAUGAAACAAAAUUUUGUAGAAUUUUUUGUUUCAGAUUUUAGCUUUAAAAAGAAAGAUAUCCAAGUAUAUCGUGAAUGGUCAUCAACAAUGGUCAAGAAGUACUUGUGUCCAUGAAUAGAUGGAAUGGAGUAAGGUCCCCAUAAAUCAACAUGAAUAAGAUCAAAAUAUUUAUUUGAAACAAAAUUGCUAACAGGGAAAGAAAGUUUUCUUUGUUUAGCCAAAUGGAAAAUGUCACAAACAUAAGAUUUUUCAUGGUUCACAUGAGGGAACUUUCCCUUUAUCACAUCAAGACAUUUAUUUGAAACAUGACCAAGACGAAAAUGCCAAAGAGUGGAACCAUCAAUUGAAGCCAAGUUAACAGUAGUGGAUGUAUGGAUGGAUUAUGAGUAUAUGGUAACAAUUGAUGAGAAGAGACCCUGAGUAUGCAAAGGCUAUCAAGAAUGUUAGCUAUACCAAUCGUCUUUAAGGUAAUCUUGUCCUGGAUUUGACAAUGAGUAGAAUCAAAUGUGAGAAUAAAGGAAAGCUAGCAGUUAAUUUUCCAAUAGAUAGUAAAUUAAAACUAUAACUAGGAAUGUAUAAGACAUUAUGAAGAACAUGAUCUAAGGUCAAAAACACACUACUAGAAUAAUUAGCAACAACCUUGUUUCCAUUUGGUAAUGUGACAUGAAUGGGUUUAAUUUUAUGAUAAGAGGUAAAAUGAGACAAACAGUAACAAAUGUGAUCAAUAGCACCACUAUCCAAAACCCAAGAACUAAAAGAAGAAGAGGUAUUACCAAUUUGUCCAGAAUGAUCAGAAGCUCCAGGUGUGGCCGAGACUUGGUUUGACACAUGACUAUUGUUAGAAAUUGUGAUUGCUGCAAGAGUGCUAUUAAGCCUUGAUAUUGUUUCUCAGUGAAACCAAAUUGUUGAUGUCCCAAAUGUUCCUUCAGCAGUCCAGAUUCCUUUCGAUCUACAUCAUUAUUGUGGAAUGAAGCAUUCACAUACACCUGACUCUUAUUUUGAUUCUAUUUUGUAAAUUUAAAAUGAGGUGAAGAUCCAUGUUUCUUGUAGCAUGUAUCCAUUGUAUGUUCUGAUUUUCCACAAUGACUGCAAAUUAUGUUGCUAUUGCCUUUACCACUAUUUCUUCUGCCUCCUUUACCAGCAACAACCAUCAUCUUAGACUGCUCAACUGUGUCACCAAACAUUUGCCUCUUUUGUUGAACCACCAAAGAAAAAACACGGUUGAGAGGUGGUAAUGGGUCUAAGAGCGUGAUUUGGGAUUUUACAAUAGAGUAGCUUUCAUUCAUCCCUCUAAAAAAUUUGAUCACCUGAUCCUGAACCUUAUACUUGUUAACAUUGA
This is a non-coding RNA of Cajanus cajan (pigeon pea), 3932 nucleotides long. Lineage: Eukaryota; Viridiplantae; Streptophyta; Magnoliopsida; Fabales; Fabaceae. The record is from RefSeq and is a predicted model, not a curated record.